CCUACGGGCGGCAGCAGUGAGGAAUAUUGGUCAAUGGACGAGAGUCUGAACCAGCCAAGUAGCGUGAAGGAUGACUGCCCUAUGGGUUGUAAACUUCUUUUAUAUGGGAAUAAAAUGUUCCACGUGUGGGAUUUUGUAUGUACCAUAUGAAUAAGGAUCGGCUAACUCCGUGCCAGCAGCCGCGGUAAUACGGAGGAUCCGAGCGUUAUCCGGAUUUAUUGGGGUUAAAGGGAGCGUAGGUGGAUUGUUAAGUCAGUUGUGAAAGUUUGCGGCUCAACCGUAAAAUUGCAGUUGAAACUGGCAGUCUGGAGUACAGUAGAGGUGGGCGGAAUUCGUGGUGUAGCGGUGAAAUGCUGAGAUAUCACGAAGAACUCCGAUUGCGAAGGCAGCUCACUGGACUGCAACUGACACUGAGGCUCGAAAGUGUGGGUAUCAAACAGGAGUAGAUACCCCUGUAGUC
Molecule: ribosomal RNA, 460 nt
Filed under: uncultured bacterium
Lineage: Bacteria
Description: partial 16S ribosomal RNA
Rfam family: Bacterial small subunit ribosomal RNA
Source: RNAcentral